Long non-coding RNA from Populus euphratica (Euphrates poplar), 1208 nucleotides. RefSeq lists it as uncharacterized. The record is from RefSeq and is a predicted model, not a curated record. The transcript has 3 exons. NCBI's taxonomy places the organism in Eukaryota, Viridiplantae, Streptophyta, Magnoliopsida, Malpighiales, Salicaceae.
AACUUAACUUUUAUGCAGCAGUACCCUUGCCAGACAAAUGAGUUGUCUUUGCCCUGGACUCUAGUUUUGACCCUCCUCUGAACGCAGCAAUAUAUUCAUUUCUUCUACUUUUCAUAUUUUCUUCCAAGCACUGCAAAUGGGAAGCAAUUAUAGGAUUGCGUGGGAAACCAAGAAAGAGGGCAGGGUCAGCGAAAAGCAACUGAUGGCGAGAUCUUUUCUUUAAUUUCUGGUGGGAGCUCUGUUUUUGUAUUGGCAAGAGCACUUCUGUUAACAUUCAUCACCUUUAAUACUUAUCAUCAUCUCUUCAAUGUCCUAAUAACAUCGAUUCUUCAAGCUCCUAUGUCAUUUUUCGACACUACUUCAAGUUAAAUCCUUGUCGAGUCUUCUACAGACCAAGCUACUGUCGACUUUGAUGUAUCUUACAGAAUAGCUGGAUUAGUGUUUGCUCUUAUUCAGCUUGUCAGUGUCAUCGCCCUCAUGUCACAGGUGGCAUGAAUAGCCAGCAGUCUCACAUAAAUAUAUGUGCAGCACGAUAAUCUGUUUCUUCCUCAAAACAUGUAUGUAGUUACUAGGCGCUGAAUUUUUUCAAAGUUCUGUGCAGGCUUAUUGCAUUAAAACUGCCAGAGAACUGGCUAGGAUGGUUUGAAUUCAAAAGGCUCCACUUCUGCACCACUUCUCGGAAACAAUUGCUGGGUAGUGCCUAUCCGCUGCUUCAACAAGGAUGAAAAACUCUACACCAAAAACCUUGGCCUGGUUGAUGAUUUUUCACGCAUUAGUUUACACAAUUCCACGACAAUGGAAUGGUUCUGUGUUAGGAUAAACUUUCUAUUAAAUCUUGGCUUCUUCGUUGUUCUUAUGAUCUUAGUGACUCUGUCAGGCUCAGGCACUAACCGCAGCUUGGCAGGACUUGCUGUCACCUAUGGUCUGAAGAUUAAUAUUCUACAAGCUUGGGUUAUGUGGAAUGUGUGCAGUGUCGAGAACAAGAUGAUCUCGGUCGAGAGAAUAAUUCUGUUUAGUUGCAUACCAAGCGAGGCACCUUCUGCCCUUAAAGAUUGAAGUCCAGAACCGAAAUGGCCAGAGACUGGUUACAUGGAAAUUAAAAACCUCGAAGUGUGUUAUGUUGGGUCAUUUCAGAUAUUAAAGACAUAAAUUUACAUGGUUUGAUAAUAUAUCUACUUCACAGAAUUACUGAUUUAUAUUAAUUUAUC